RNAcentral lists this long non-coding RNA (845 nucleotides) under Mus musculus (house mouse). RNAcentral's name for it is "long non-coding RNA chr17:31606808-31607653". Lineage: Eukaryota; Metazoa; Chordata; Mammalia; Rodentia; Muridae. The record is from RNAcentral.
AGGCAAGCCUGGGCUACUUGACCCUGUCUUAAAAAAAAAAAGCUAGUAAAAGAGCUGGCACAGGGUCAUAUCCUUUCACCUCCCCGUGCACAGAGAUGCUUUUAAGUGCUCCCCAUGAGGCGAGCCAUGCUGGUUCAUAGAGUCCCUGCCCAGCAGAUUUGGUGUCUGCCAGUUGCACCUUUGAGACACCUGCUUGCUGGGCACAAUGGCAUAUUCCUGUAAACAAGCACUUAGGAGGCUGAAGCAGGAGGAUUGCUGCAAGGUCGAGUUGGCCUCUGGUGUGUAGUGAAACCCAGUUUCAAAAAAAAAAAAAAAAAAUCGAGCAAAACUCCUGCUCGCCUUUCCUUGGCCAGUGCAGAAAACCUUUGAGCUUUGUUUAAAUGGUCAGACUCCCAAACAUUGGAGCCUUUUGAAUGUGUUCUGAGACCUACAGUCAACUCGUGUCAUUCCUGCUGUUUGGCUGUCUAGCAGAAAUCUAGACUGGCUGACCCACUCCUCCGGUGGGCUCAGGUUUUCUGCUUUCUUGAUUCCAGAUUGUCAAAUAGAAGUGUAUAUGCAAUAUGCACUGUGACCCUUGCGGCUAGGGCUGACGGGCCACUGUGUAGCCUGCUGGGUGGCCAGUGCACCUGUGGGGGCAGCGGGAGACUUGCUCCUCCCCCAUGGCUGGCAGGGAAAUGCCCAUCCCAGAGGCCCCUCCCGCAGGUUGUGACUGGAACACAGCAGGCUGCCUUCUUCAGUUAAGUUCGGUCUUUGAAACUGACAAUCUUUAAAAUGUGAAUACUGUAACAAUAUGUUUUCUUGGAUUGUUGUCUUUAAAAGGAUUUUUGUGAAGCAAUUGAUUUAUC